Molecule: ribosomal RNA, 232 nt
Filed under: uncultured Enterobacterales bacterium
Lineage: Bacteria; Pseudomonadati; Pseudomonadota; Gammaproteobacteria; Enterobacterales
Description: partial 16S ribosomal RNA
Rfam family: Bacterial small subunit ribosomal RNA
Source: RNAcentral
CUGACGGGUGAGUAAUGUCUGGGAAACUGCCUGAUGGAGGGGGAUAACUACUGGAAACGGUAGCUAAUACCGCAUAACGUCGCAAGACCAAAGAGGGGGACCUUCGGGCCUCUUGCCAUCAGAUGUGCCCAGAUGGGAUUAGCUAGUAGGUGGGGUAACGGCUCACCUAGGCGACGAUCCCUAGCUGGUCUGAGAGGAUGACCAGCCACACUGGAACUGGGACACGGUCCAG